Monodelphis domestica (gray short-tailed opossum) is the source of this 2826-nucleotide long non-coding RNA. RefSeq lists it as uncharacterized. NCBI's taxonomy places the organism in Eukaryota, Metazoa, Chordata, Mammalia, Didelphimorphia, Didelphidae. The record is from RefSeq and is a predicted model, not a curated record.
AGGGUUCAUGGCCAUUUUGGUUCUGGGUCAUGGUCCUUAGGCAGGAAGGAGACUUUCUGGUUGUCUCUAAUUGACUUGAAUUGGUGGACUAAGCCUGGCCUCCCUCCUUCCUCUUCUGGGAUGCUAUUUUCCUUACAUAGAUCAGGCAGCUAGGUCAUUGGCUUAGGGAAGCAGUGAAGAAAAUGGUUCUUUCAAGCUAGAAGUGAGUCAGAUCCAAAGUAAUUGUGAGUUGCCUGGCAACAAGAACCCCUCCACCAGCUAUUCUACACAAGCCCCUCAGGAGGCCUGAGGCCCUUUUGAGUUAUCCUCUUCCCUUUGAUUUUCCCUUGUUCCUCUGCUCACUAUAGCCAGAUGUCUAUGUUUAUAUGAGGUCUGAGACAGGAUGAUUUGUCCUAGUAAUGGCCCUGGAGGGAGGUUGGGAUGGUUCUAAAAGUUGUAUGAAGGACCAGGGGCUAAUGAUAUAAAAAUAUGAAGUAUGAAGAACAAUAUGUGACCAGGUCUAUACUGGCAAAAGGAGAGGACGAGAGCACUAUAAGAAUUAUCUGAAUCAUUUGUUCAUUAAGCCAAUAUUUUAAAAUGCUAUUAAUUUAUAAGGCAGAGACAACAAGACAGAGUAGAUAAAGAGCUGGUCUUAAGACCUGACUUCAUGUCUUACUUCUGGUAGAUGCUGGCUGUGUGACCUGAAACAAGUCUCAAUCUCCUUCUCUCCUUCUCUCCCUCCUUCUCUCCUUCUCUCUCUCCUUCCUUCCUUCCUUCCUUCCUUCCUUCCUUCCUUCCUUCCUUCCUUCCUUCCUUCCUUCCUUCCUUCCUUCCUUCCUUCCUUCCUUCCUUCCUUCCUUCCUUCCUUCCUCACAGAAAGGACCUUAAUAUUAUGGAUUACUACAGAGUCUUGUUCACAACUUUUAACCUUUCAGUAUCCCAGAGCAGGAGAUGGCAUGCUUUAGUAGAGGGGAGUUCUCUAUACCAGUCAGUCAAUCAGUCAGCCAAGAAGUAUUUAUUAAGCACUGGGUUAAGUGUUGGAAAAAUAAGAAAUUCUAAUAGGGGUAGGAAACAUAAAAAAGAGCCCAAGGGAGGGGGUAGGGGAGGAAGCUGGAAGUCAUGAUUUUAUUAUCAUAAGAAAUGAAGAGUUAGCAGCCUUCCUAAAAUGGAAGUUCUGAGAGGAGCCACCCAAUUCAGGAGAGGGAGUGGCAAAUGGUGCUUCUAAGAUGUGGAUUUCAGGUCUAAAGUGAUAUUCCAGGAUGAAGAAUUUUGUGGGGCAUGAUGAAGAAGUCUGGAUUGCAACUUGGUGAGAAUGUUUUAUACAUCUUUACCUAUAUCUAUCUAUAUCCUCACUGCCUCUCUCUGUCUUUAUCUAUGGCUGCCUCUGUCUCUCUCUGUCUCUCCUCCCCGCCCCUCCUCCCCUUCCUCUCCAUCUCUCUCUCAUGGUCCACUUAUUAGUUGUAUGACCCUGGGGAUGAACCACUUAAUUUCUGUUUGCCUCAGUUUCCUCCUCAAUCAAAUGGGGAUAAUAGUAGCUAACUCCCAGAGGAUCAAAUGAGAUAAUAAUUGUAAAGUGCUUAGCACAUAAUAAGCACUAUAUAAGUGUAGGCUAUUACUAUUGUGAUUUUUAUUGUUUCUCUCCAUCUGCUUGUCUGUCUCCUUUCUCUCUCUCUCCUCUCACUUCAGGGAGCAUUGUGUUAAUCCUGUAAGCAUUUAGCUAGGGAGACAAAGACAAAACUGGAAACUGCCUUCCCUCAAUGAACUUACCUUCUAUGGAAAGGGAAGGGAGAUAUUUCCAUAGAUAAGAGAAGACUAAUUAUUGAAAUUUGCAUUGAAAUCAAUGCAAAGUAAUUUCAGGGGUUGGGGUGGAGGAACAACUAAUAAAUUAAACCCAACACCACCUAGGCCCUACUUUCAAAGAAGUUUAAGAGUGGAAAGGAUAAACAUGUAACUAUGAUCUAAGGACACAUGAGAUAAAUUUGAAUGGAGGGGAAAACCAAACUUGCUCAAGUGGUCUAGGCAUUCUGAAAAAAAUCUUGCUGCCAUUUUCUAUUUGGAUUUGAAUUAGCACCUCCAGGUGUCCAACAUAGCACCUGACUGUCCAAGUGGCUUCAGAGGAGAGUAGAAGAUGACAGAAACUGUAAUGAGUUGUGAGAAUCUUUCAGAAUGAAGAGCAUCAAACAAGCAAAGUAGGUGGAUGAGAACAGAAGAAAUAAGAUGAGGGAGGCAUUCAGGAAAUUUCUUAUCACCAAUGCUCCUCACAACAUCUUCUGCUGAGUGAAACUACCCCUGCUAUUAUCCGUAGGGCUGGACCACAUUUCUAUUUGCCGUUCUUGCUUUUUUGGACUUCAGACUCAGCUGCAAAAAUUGGCUUCAGGUGAAGGAGUAUUGGAGACAGAAGAGAGUAGACUGUGAUCUUGUGAGCUCCAAAAAGGCAAGGAAGCCUCCUCAGGGGUCCAGGAACUGCAAUCUGUCCCAGAGUUGGUGUCCAAGCCCAGAUGAAGUACCAGCAAAGUCCUGAGGAGUGAACAGCUUGACUCAGCCCUGCAGUUGUUUGACAUUGAGCACAGAGGCAACAGCGUCCUACAGUGAUGGGGAAGGGAUUGACGCUGCCCUUCAGUUACAUUUCAUUCAAAAGUAAAUUUGAAAACAAACAAAUAAAAUAACUUUUAUGGGGAAAGGGAAGGAAAUGAGCGUUUAUUUAGCACCUACUGUGUCAAGCACUGAGCUAAGCAUUUUACAAAUGUUUAUCAUUUGAUCCUCACAACAACCCUGGGAGACAGAUACUGUUAUUGUUCUCAUUUUACAGUAGAGGAAACUGAAAAAGACAGAAGUUAAGGGACUUGC